UCUUGGACAAAGAACAUUCCAGGCAGCAACCCUGAGAUGCAGAAUGCCUAGUUAGUUAAAGGAGAGCAAGAAGGCCAUGUACAGUAUCUGUGCAGAGGUAUUUGUAACCCACACCAGUCCAAUUUCUCUGAGAAGCAGAACAUCUGAGGCAAGCCAAUGAGAACUGGCUACAAGGAGAUAAAUGGGAAAUGUUCUUCACUCUAUCUUCCUAACCCAAAGCUAUGAACAACCAGCCUCAACAUCAGGAACAAGGUGGAAUCACAGACUGAAGCAUGGCAGUGAUGAUCAGGUCCAUCCUUAACUCUGAAUUGUCCAUCUGCUAACUGGAAAUGACUUGCUUCUAUCCUCACAUGUAACGCAGAGAUGCAAAGAUUUUUCUUGAAGACGGUUCACAGCUGGGAUAUAAUGCAUGUGUUACUGGACUAAAGGGGGUCUCUUCCACAGAAUCUUUUAAGUCAGUAAUGUGAAGUCAUCUUCAUGUUCUCAUUCCCCCAUCUUCCUCAGUCUGAACAGUGUGGAUAUGCAACAAAGGAUAUGCUGGAGUACCACAUUUUUAUUUUCAUAAGAGAAAGACAAAUUGUUGCUUUCUGUGCUAAAAAUGCCAGGGUGAGGUGGUAGGCAUUUGAUACUGUGGUCCCCUCCUGUUACACAUUGGCCAGGGGUCAACUGCCCUGAGUUGACUCGCCAGCAUUUUGUCUCAUUAUGUACUGUGGAGCAGCCAACUGAUCCACACCCUCCUAAUCUUUCUGUCAUUAGUGAUUGGCCCUCAUUCUGGCAGGUUUCUGGCUUGAAACUGAACACUUGUGACAAGUUCUACAAAGAUGAGAAUUUAGCCAAGGGGCUCUUUCGUCAAUUAAGACAUUUCAUCCCACAAUUGCCACCAGGGGCUUUCCAGGGCUCAUGAGGUUCCCACUGCUGUCUGGAUUUCAAGAAUGAAAAGAAAAAUGUGAGCCCUUCUGAAGGCCUUCAUUCCAUCACAGGGAAAGGGGCGCCUCACCCUCUCACUUAAACGCUCGCUAGGAAGGAGACAUCCACACGAGAAACACUUCCCCAUGAGUGACUGUCCACUGGUGACUGUCUAGUAACUUGAAUUAUCUAGACAGCCAAAGAAAAUAAAUCAGACCUGAGAUACCACUUUGGGUCUGAAUUAUCCAAACUGGCUGUCUAACCGGGCUGCUAAUUCAGACAGGUCCUAAUUCACAGGAAAAUUGCUGACGUUUCUGCCACAGAUGUUGAAAGUCGGCCUCGAGUUUCUCCAUAUUAUGUUACACAGUGACUGUACAGACAUGCUCUUAAGUACAAUAUACUUCUUAUAUGGUGAUGUGUAUGUGGUUUAAAGUCAAUGGAAGCCUGGAGUGAUCCUCUGGCUUGUUUGUUUGUUUGUUUGUUUGUUUGUUUACUGUUGCUGUUGCAGCCCAAUUCACAAUUAGUCGUUUGGUGUAAAACACCAGGCUUUACUCUGAUUGGCACUUUUAAAACGUGCUUGUUUUUCUCAGGUCAUAUUUCCUUUUUAGAUGAUUUAGGAAUUUUAAUAAACUGUAAUCCAAAAGCGCUCAAAAUGUUCUCUGUGGUCUUCUGGGAAGAAGAGUCAUCGAUGAACCCAGGGCUGAAGCUGAAUUAUGUUUGAAAAUGUAAAGGCCGAGC
Long non-coding RNA from Peromyscus maniculatus bairdii (prairie deer mouse), 1644 nucleotides. RefSeq lists it as uncharacterized. NCBI's taxonomy places the organism in Eukaryota, Metazoa, Chordata, Mammalia, Rodentia, Cricetidae. The record is from RefSeq and is a predicted model, not a curated record.